GAUUUGCGUAAGGGAUGGAAGUGGCAUCCUUUUAUGAAACCCAAUUUUUUGGGCUUCAUAAAAGAUACAACGGACAGCCCGACCCGCA
This 88-nucleotide small RNA is filed under the name Flavobacterium xanthum. Its description in RNAcentral is "Flavo-1 RNA". It matches the Rfam family "Flavo-1 RNA". The record is from RNAcentral. Lineage: Bacteria; Pseudomonadati; Bacteroidota; Flavobacteriia; Flavobacteriales; Flavobacteriaceae.